This 487-nucleotide ribosomal RNA is filed under the name uncultured bacterium. RNAcentral's name for it is "bacterial SSU rRNA". It matches the Rfam family "Bacterial small subunit ribosomal RNA", at positions 28 to 488 of the family's 1533-position model. The record is from RNAcentral.
GAUGAACGCUGGCGGCGUGCCUAAUACAUGCAAGUCGAGCGAAUGGAUUGAGAGCUUGCUCUCAAGAAGUUAGCGGCGGACGGGUGAGUAACACGUGGGUAACCUGCCCAUAAGACUGGGAUAACUCCGGGAAACCGGGGCUAAUACCGGAUAACAUUUUGAACUGCAUGGUUCGAAAUUGAAAGGCGGCUUCGGCUGUCACUUAUGGAUGGACCCGCGUCGCAUUAGCUAGUUGGCGAGGUAAUGGCUCACCAAGGCAUAGACGGGUAGCUGGUCUGAGAGGAUGAUCAGCCACACUGGAACUGAGACACGGUCCAGACUCCUACGGGAGGCAGCAGUGGGGAAUAUUGGGCAAUGGGGGAAACCCUGACCCAGCCAUGCCGCGUGAGUGAUGAAGGCCUCGGUCGUAAGACGUCUGUGGGGAGGGAAAAGGAACGGAAUGUCCGUCGAACGAAUAGGGUGGUUGUUGUAUGGUACCGUCCUUACG